AAAACAUGUCUUUKUGAAUUUAAAUAUAAAGUCKAAUCUGCCCACUGAUAAAUUAUUUAAUGGCCGCAGUAUUUUAACUGUGCAAAGGUAGCAUAAUAAUUAGUCUUUUAAUUGAAGGCUUGUAUGAAUGAUUGGACGAGAUAUAAACUGUCUCAUAAAAAUUUUUUUUUAGAAUUUAAUUUUUUAGUUAAAAAGCUAAAAUAUAUUUAAAAGACGAGAAGACCCCGUAGAUCUUUAUAUUUUUUUUUAUUAAUGUUAUUUAGUUUUUUUAUAAAUUAAUAACUAAAAAUAUUUUGUUGGGGUGACAUUGAAAUUUAAUAAACUUUCAAAAUUUAAUAACAUUAAUUUAUGAGUUUAUGAUCCUUUAUUAUUGAUUAAAAAUUUAAGUUACCUUGGGGAUAACAGCGUAAUUAUUUUGGAGAGUUCAUAUCGAUAAAAUAGAUUGCGACCUCGAUGUUGGAUUAAGAUUAAUAUUGGAUGUAGCAGUUCAAAAUAUUAAGUCUGUUCGACUUUUAWUUUCUUACGUGA
This 528-nucleotide ribosomal RNA is filed under the name Campsicnemus gladiator. RNAcentral describes it as "partial 16S ribosomal RNA". It matches the Rfam family "Bacterial large subunit ribosomal RNA", at positions 1812 to 2603 of the family's 2925-position model. Lineage: Eukaryota; Metazoa; Arthropoda; Insecta; Diptera; Dolichopodidae. The record is from RNAcentral.